UACAGAGGUCUCAAGCGUUGUUCGGAUUCAUUGGGCGUAAAGGGUGCGUAGGUGGCGCGCUAAGUCAGGUGUGAAAUUUCGGAGCUUAACUCCGGAACUGCAUUUGAUACUGGCGUGCUUGAGGACUGGAGAGGAGACUGGAAUUCAUGGUGUAGCAGUGAAAUGCGUAGAGAUCAUGAGGAAGACCAGUGGCGAAGGCGGGUCUCUGGACAGUUCCUGACACUGAGGCACGAAGGCCAGGGGAGCAAACGGG
This 253-nucleotide ribosomal RNA is filed under the name uncultured bacterium. RNAcentral's name for it is "partial 16S ribosomal RNA". It matches the Rfam family "Bacterial small subunit ribosomal RNA", at positions 524 to 776 of the family's 1533-position model. The record is from RNAcentral.